Molecule: ribosomal RNA, 253 nt
Filed under: uncultured bacterium
Lineage: Bacteria
Description: partial 16S ribosomal RNA
Rfam family: Bacterial small subunit ribosomal RNA
Source: RNAcentral
UACGAAGGUCCCAAGCGUUAUCCGGAUUUAUUGGGUUUAAAGGGUGCGUAGGCGGCCAAGUAAGUCAGGAGUGAAAGUUUGCGGCUCAACCGUAAAAUUGCUUUUGAUACUGCUAGGCUAGAAUUAGGAUGAGGUCAGCGGAAUGUGGCAUGUAGCGGUGAAAUGCAUAGAUAUGCCAUAGAACACCAAUUGCGAAGGCAGCUGGCUAGACCUGGAUUGACGCUGAGGCACGAAAGCGUGGGGAUCGAACAGG